UGAACGCUAGCUACAGGCUUAACACAUGCAAGUCGAGGGGCAGCAUUUCAGUUUGCUUGCAAACUGGAGAUGGCGACCGGCGCACGGGUGAGUAACACGUAUCCAACCUGCCGAUAACUCGGGGAUAGCCUUUCGAAAGAAAGAUUAAUACCCGAUAGUAUAAUGAGACCGCAUGGUCUUAUUAUUAAAGAAUUUCGGUUAUCGAUGGGGAUGCGUUCCAUUAGGCAGUUGGUGAGGUAACGGCUCACCAAACCUUUGAUGGAUAGGGGUUCUGAGAGGAAGGUCCCCCACAUUGGAACUGAGACACGGUCCAAACUCCUACGGGAGGCAGCAGUGAGGAAUAUUGGUCAAUGGGCGCAGGCCUGAACCAGCCAAGUAGCGUGAAGGAUGACUGCCCUAUGGGUUGUAAACUUCUUUUAUAUGGGAAUAAAGUUUUCCACGUGUGGAAUUUUGUAUGUACCAUAUGAAUAAGGAUCGGCUAACUCCGUGCCAGCAGCCGCGGUAAUACGGAGGAUCCGAGCGUUAUCCGGAUUUAUUGGGUUUAAAGGGAGCGUAGGUGGACAGUUAAGUCAGUUGUGAAAGUUUGCGGCUCAACCGUAAAAUUGCAGUUGAUACUGGCUGUCUUGAGUACAGUAGAGGUGGGCGGAAUUCGUGGUGUAGCGGUGAAAUGCUUAGAUAUCACGAAGAACUCCGAUUGCGAAGGCAGCUCACUGGACUGCAACUGACACUGAUGCUCGAAAGUGUGGGUAUCAAACAGGAUUAGAUACCCUGGUAGUCCACACAGUAAACGAUGAAUACUCGCUGUUUGCGAUAUACAGUAAGCGGCCAAGCGAAAGCAUUAAGUAUUCCACCUGGGGAGUACGCCGGCAACGGUGAAACUCAAAGGAAUUGACGGGGGCCCGCACAAGCGGAGGAACAUGUGGUUUAAUUCGAUGAUACGCGAGGAACCUUACCCGGGCUUAAAUUGCAUUUGAAUAUAUUGGAAACAGUAUAGCCGUAAGGCAAAUGUGAAGGUGCUGCAUGGUUGUCGUCAGCUCGUGCCGUGAGGUGUCGGCUUAAGUGCCAUAACGAGCGCAACCCUUAUCUUUAGUUACUAACAGGUCAUGCUGAGGACUCUAGAGAGACUGCCGUCGUAAGAUGUGAGGAAGGUGGGGAUGACGUCAAAUCAGCACGGCCCUUACGUCCGGGGCUACACACGUGUUACAAUGGGGGGUACAGAAGGCAGCUACCUGGUGACAGGAUGCUAAUCCCAAAAGCCUCUCUCAGUUCGGAUCGAAGUCUGCAACCUGACUUCGUGAAGCUGGAUUCGCUAGUAAUCGCGCAUCAGCCAUGGCGCGGUGAAUACGUUCCCGGGCCUUGUACACACCGCCCGUCAAGCCAUGAAAGCCGGGGGUACCUGAAGUACGUAACCGCAAGGAGCGUCCUAGGGUAAAACUGGU
RNAcentral lists this ribosomal RNA (1439 nucleotides) under uncultured organism. RNAcentral describes it as "SSU rRNA". It matches the Rfam family "Bacterial small subunit ribosomal RNA". The record is from RNAcentral.